Molecule: ribosomal RNA, 381 nt
Filed under: uncultured bacterium
Lineage: Bacteria
Description: bacterial SSU rRNA
Rfam family: Bacterial small subunit ribosomal RNA
Source: RNAcentral
AGCGAACGUUAGCGGCGGGCUUAACACAUGCAAGUCGAGCGAGAAAGGGGCUUCGGCCCUGAGUACAGCGGCGGACGGGUGAAUAACACGUAGGUAACCUUCCCUUCAGCGGGGGACAACGGUCCGAAAGGACCGCUAAUACCGCAUACGUUCUCCGGGACCCUGGUCCUGGGGAGGAAAGCUCCGCAAGGGGCACUGGAGGAGGGGCCUGCGUAGCAUCAGCUAGUUGGUGGGGUAAUGGCCUACCAAGGCUAAGACGCUUAGCUGGUCUGAGAGGAUGAUCAGCCACACUGGGACUGAGACACGGCCCAGACUCCUACGGGAGGCAGCAGUGGGGAAUAUUGGACAAUGGGCGCAAGCCUGAUCCAGCCACGCCGCGUG